UUGACCCUGAGCUACAGGUGGUGCGUCUCCGAAGUGGACGAGAAUUUGAAUGUCAUGAAGAUUAUAAGGUGUCCGGAAUUUGCUCCUCUGCCCAAAGAGCCACCCAUGGGCGCCACCACUACGCCCACAGCUCUAAGUGUACAGCCACCAGUGAACGCCACUGAAUGUGUUCCCUUCCGACACAAUGGAGAAAUUGUGAGCGGAUGCGUUGGAG
Penaeus vannamei (Pacific white shrimp) is the source of this 214-nucleotide non-coding RNA. The record is from RefSeq and is a predicted model, not a curated record. NCBI's taxonomy places the organism in Eukaryota, Metazoa, Arthropoda, Malacostraca, Decapoda, Penaeidae.